AGCUCUGUAAGCGUAUACCAAAGUUGUUGCAGUUAAAACGCUCGUAGUCGAAUUUUGGGGCAGCCCGUGCUGUGCGCGUAGUGCGUGCGGCGCUGGGAUGUUCUUUUGUGGAGGGCGGCGCGUCGUGGCUUCACUGUCGCGGCGUGUCGGCGCCACCGUUUACUGUGAAAAAAUUAGAGUGUUCAAAGCAGGCGUUUGCCGUGAAUACAUUAGCAUGGAAUAAUAGAAUAGGACUUGGUUUCUAUUUUGUUGGUUUGUGAGAGCCGAGUAAUGAUUAAGAGGGACGGUUGGGGGCAUUUGUAUUCCAGCGUCAGAGGUGAAAUUCUUGGAUUGCUGGAAGACAAACAGCUGCGAAAGCGUCUGCCAAGGACGUUUUCA
RNAcentral lists this ribosomal RNA (378 nucleotides) under uncultured eukaryote. RNAcentral's name for it is "SSU rRNA". It matches the Rfam family "Eukaryotic small subunit ribosomal RNA", at positions 587 to 972 of the family's 1831-position model. The record is from RNAcentral.